RNAcentral lists this ribosomal RNA (678 nucleotides) under Providencia rettgeri. RNAcentral describes it as "bacterial SSU rRNA". It matches the Rfam family "Bacterial small subunit ribosomal RNA", at positions 855 to 1533 of the family's 1533-position model. Lineage: Bacteria; Pseudomonadati; Pseudomonadota; Gammaproteobacteria; Enterobacterales; Morganellaceae. The record is from RNAcentral.
ACGCGUUAAAUCGACCGCCUGGGGAGUACGGCCGCAAGGUUAAAACUCAAAUGAAUUGACGGGGGCCCGCACAAGCGGUGGAGCAUGUGGUUUAAUUCGAUGCAACGCGAAGAACCUUACCUACUCUUGACAUCCAGAGAACUUAGCAGAGAUGCUUUGGUGCCUUCGGGAACUCUGAGACAGGUGCUGCAUGGCUGUCGUCAGCUCGUGUUGUGAAAUGUUGGGUUAAGUCCCGCAACGAGCGCAACCCUUAUCCUUUGUUGCCAGCGAUUCGGUCGGGAACUCAAAGGAGACUGCCGGUGAUAAACCGGAGGAAGGUGGGGAUGACGUCAAGUCAUCAUGGCCCUUACGAGUAGGGCUACACACGUGCUACAAUGGCGUAUACAAAGAGAAGCGACCUCGCGAGAGCAAGCGGAACUCAUAAAGUACGUCGUAGUCCGGAUUGGAGUCUGCAACUCGACUCCAUGAAGUCGGAAUCGCUAGUAAUCGUAGAUCAGAAUGCUACGGUGAAUACGUUCCCGGGCCUUGUACACACCGCCCGUCACACCAUGGGAGUGGGUUGCAAAAGAAGUAGGUAGCUUAACCUUCGGGAGGGCGCUUACCACUUUGUGAUUCAUGACUGGGGUGAAGUCGUAACAAGGUAACCGUAGGGGAACCUGCGGUUGGAUCACCUCCUUA